UCUCUUCAGCGUCUUUCUCCCUCUCCCUCUCCCUCUCCCUCACCGCCGCUCCUCUCCCCUCCACUCUCACCGGUGCUCCUCCUCGCGUUGGCCGGCAACCGGAGCACCGAUUCACCUCCUUAUUGGUCACCGUCGCCUGAGAUCCUCUCUCUCCCUCUCGGCUCUGUUUUUCUAUCUCACAAAAACCCAUACAGCUUCACAUACACGCACACACAUGGGUUCUUCAAAUAGGUAACAAGGGCUGCCCUAAAGCUUCCGGUAGCAAGAUUUACCAGAUCAUUUCCCACGAAUGAAAUGUUACAGUGACGGACUUUACGUCACUCAAUCUGAUUCAUUGUAGGCUUGCAGUAUUCCAUGGUUAGGUUUAGUUUCUUCUUUAUUAAUGGGUUUCUAAUAAUUUUCAUUGCAGAGAGACAGAGUCGCGUUGCCAUUGUUGUUAAGGCUACAGGUGAAAGCUCUGAAUCUUCGACUUCUCUGAGUGUUGUUAAAUCCGUACAAAAUGUUAUUAGGGGAUUGGUGGAUCGGCUUCUGAAUUCUCAGUAUCCCAAAUCCUUUAUGUGUUGAAGCCAAUAAAAUAUGUAGGCAUUAAAGUUUGGCAAAAUGAAGGAUCUGAUAAUGUUAAUCAAGUCUUCCCCCUUUGCGGAAGUUCAAAACAUUUUUAUAUACUGCAAAUUUCAAUAUGAAACUGAUUUGAUAAGCAAAUACUUAAGCGACAACAAUAUUCAAGCAAUGAGUUACCACAGUGGUAUACCCUCAAAGGAUCGAAGUCAUAUUCAGGAAUCAUUUUGUUCCAACAAGAUAAGAGUGGUUAUCCAUUACACUUUACCAGAAAGCUUGGAAGAGUAUGUUCAGGAGAUUGGACGUGCUGGACUCGAUGGUAGAUUAUCUUAUUGCCAUCUCUUUUUUUAUGAUAGCACAUAUUUUAAAAUUCGUAGUCUAACAUACAGGUGAUUCAAUGCAUUUCAUAUUCUGUUUAGCUUUGAUUUGUGGU
This is a non-coding RNA of Camellia sinensis, 991 nucleotides long. NCBI's taxonomy places the organism in Eukaryota, Viridiplantae, Streptophyta, Magnoliopsida, Ericales, Theaceae. The record is from RefSeq and is a predicted model, not a curated record.